ACACUUUUAAAUCUUCUGUCAUU
RNAcentral lists this small nuclear RNA (23 nucleotides) under Arabidopsis thaliana (thale cress). RNAcentral describes it as "snRNA_09856". The record is from RNAcentral. Lineage: Eukaryota; Viridiplantae; Streptophyta; Magnoliopsida; Brassicales; Brassicaceae.